GUUGACCGAAAAGAUAUAUAAGUGUUUCAACUUAUUAACGCCAUGAUUUCUUUGAAGAUUCCAGUAAAGUCAUCUGACCUGCAUUUUAAGCAAUUAUUAUUUCCGAUUAUGACAUUUUGAUUUGGAGGGAAUUUUUCACACAGCCAGUGGUGUUUGCAUACCAGGAAAGAUGCACCCGUGUUUAUACAUCCCGUCAUUGUGUUAUUC
Molecule: long non-coding RNA, 207 nt
Filed under: Mytilus galloprovincialis (Mediterranean mussel)
Lineage: Eukaryota; Metazoa; Mollusca; Bivalvia; Mytilida; Mytilidae
Source: RNAcentral